Molecule: ribosomal RNA, 253 nt
Filed under: uncultured bacterium
Lineage: Bacteria
Description: partial 16S ribosomal RNA
Rfam family: Bacterial small subunit ribosomal RNA
Source: RNAcentral
UACAGAGGGGGCAAGCGUUGUUCGGAAUUACUGGGCGUAAAGGGCGCGUAGGCGGCCGCCUAAGUCAGACGUGAAAUCCCUCGGCUCAACCGGGGAACUGCGUCUGAUACUGGGUGGCUUGAAUCCGGGAGAGGGAUGCGGAAUUCCAGGUGUAGCGGUGAGAUGCGUAGAUAUCUGGAGGAACACCGGUGGCGAAGGCGGCAUCCUGGACCGGCAUUGACGCUGAGGCGCGAAAGCCAGGGGAGCAAACGGG